GGGUUGUGAGGUUAAGCGACUAAGCGUACACGGUGGAUGCCCUGGCAGUCAGAGGCGAUGAAGGACGUGCUAAUCUGCGAUAAGCGUCGGUAAGGUGAUAUGAACCGUUAUAACCGGCGAUUUCCGAAUGGGGAAACCCAGUGUGAUUCGUCACACUAUCAUUAACUGAAUCCAUAGGUUAAUGAGGCGAACCGGGGGAACUGAAACAUCUAAGUACCCCGAGGAAAAGAAAUCAACCGAGAUUCCCCCAGUAGCGGCGAGCGAACGGGGAGCAGCCCAGAGCCUGAAUCAGUGUGUGUGUUAGUGGAAGCGUCUGGAAAGGCGUGCGAUACAGGGUGACAGCCCCGUACACAAAAAUGCACAUACUGUGAGCUCGAUGAGUAGGGCGGGACACGUGGUAUCCUGUCUGAAUAUGGGGGGACCAUCCUCCAAGGCUAAAUACUCCUGACUGACCGAUAGUGAACCAGUACCGUGAGGGAAAGGCGAAAAGAACCCCGGCGAGGGGAGUGAAAAAGAACCUGAAACCGUGUACGUACAAGCAGUGGGAGCACGCUUAGGCGUGUGACUGCGUACCUUUUGUAUAAUGGGUCAGCGACUUAUAUUCUGUAGCAAGGUUAACCGAAUAGGGGAGCCGAAGGGAAACCGAGUCUUAACUGGGCGUUAAGUUGCAGGGUAUAGACCCGAAACCCGGUGAUCUAGCCAUGGGCAGGUUGAAGGUUGGGUAACACUAACUGGAGGACCGAACCGACUAAUGUUGAAAAAUUAGCGGAUGACUUGUGGCUGGGGGUGAAAGGCCAAUCAAACCGGGAGAUAGCUGGUUCUCCCCGAAAGCUAUUUAGGUAGCGCCUCGUGAAUUCAUCUCCGGGGGUAGAGCACUGUUUCGGCAAGGGGGUCAUCCCGACUUACCAACCCGAUGCAAACUGCGAAUACCGGAGAAUGUUAUCACGGGAGACACACGGCGGGUGCUAACGUCCGUCGUGAAGAGGGAAACAACCCAGACCGCCAGCUAAGGUCCCAAAGUCAUGGUUAAGUGGGAAACGAUGUGGGAAGGCCCAGACAGCCAGGAUGUUGGCUUAGAAGCAGCCAUCAUUUAAAGAAAGCGUAAUAGCUCACUGGUCGAGUCGGCCUGCGCGGAAGAUGUAACGGGGCUAAACCAUGCACCGAAGCUGCGGCAGCGACGCUUAUGCGUUGUUGGGUAGGGGAGCGUUCUGUAAGCCUGUGAAGGUGUGCUGUGAGGUAUGCUGGAGGUAUCAGAAGUGCGAAUGCUGACAUAAGUAACGAUAAAGCGGGUGAAAAGCCCGCUCGCCGGAAGACCAAGGGUUCCUGUCCAACGUUAAUCGGGGCAGGGUGAGUCGACCCCUAAGGCGAGGCCGAAAGGCGUAGUCGAUGGGAAACAGGUUAAUAUUCCUGUACUUGGUGUUACUGCGAAGGGGGGACGGAGAAGGCUAUGUUGGCCGGGCGACGGUUGUCCCGGUUUAAGCGUGUAGGCUGGUUUUCCAGGCAAAUCCGGAAAAUCAAGGCCGAGGCGUGAUGACGAGGCACUACGGUGCUGAAGCAACAAAUGCCCUGCUUCCAGGAAAAGCCUCUAAGCAUCAGGUAACAUCAAAUCGUACCCCAAACCGACACAGGUGGUCAGGUAGAGAAUACCAAGGCGCUUGAGAGAACUCGGGUGAAGGAACUAGGCAAAAUGGUGCCGUAACUUCGGGAGAAGGCACGCUGAUACGUAGGUGAAGCGACUUGCUCGUGGAGCUGAAAUCAGUCGAAGAUACCAGCUGGCUGCAACUGUUUAUUAAAAACACAGCACUGUGCAAACACGAAAGUGGACGUAUACGGUGUGACGCCUGCCCGGUGCCGGAAGGUUAAUUGAUGGGGUUAGCGCAAGCGAAGCUCUUGAUCGAAGCCCCGGUAAACGGCGGCCGUAACUAUAACGGUCCUAAGGUAGCGAAAUUCCUUGUCGGGUAAGUUCCGACCUGCACGAAUGGCGUAAUGAUGGCCAGGCUGUCUCCACCCGAGACUCAGUGAAAUUGAACUCGCUGUGAAGAUGCAGUGUACCCGCGGCAAGACGGAAAGACCCCGUGAACCUUUACUAUAGCUUGACACUGAACAUUGAGCCUUGAUGUGUAGGAUAGGUGGGAGGCUUUGAAGUGUGGACGCCAGUCUGCAUGGAGCCGACCUUGAAAUACCACCCUUUAAUGUUUGAUGUUCUAACGUGGACCCGUGAUCCGGGUUGCGGACAGUGUCUGGUGGGUAGUUUGACUGGGGCGGUCUCCUCCUAAAGAGUAACGGAGGAGCACGAAGGUUGGCUAAUCCUGGUCGGACAUCAGGAGGUUAGUGCAAUGGCAUAAGCCAGCUUGACUGCGAGCGUGACGGCGCGAGCAGGUGCGAAAGCAGGUCAUAGUGAUCCGGUGGUUCUGAAUGGAAGGGCCAUCGCUCAACGGAUAAAAGGUACUCCGGGGAUAACAGGCUGAUACCGCCCAAGAGUUCAUAUCGACGGCGGUGUUUGGCACCUCGAUGUCGGCUCAUCACAUCCUGGGGCUGAAGUAGGUCCCAAGGGUAUGGCUGUUCGCCAUUUAAAGUGGUACGCGAGCUGGGUUUAGAACGUCGUGAGACAGUUCGGUCCCUAUCUGCCGUGGGCGCUGGAGAACUGAGGGGGGCUGCUCCUAGUACGAGAGGACCGGAGUGGACGCAUCACUGGUGUUCGGGUUGUCAUGCCAAUGGCACUGCCCGGUAGCUAAAUGCGGAAGAGAUAAGUGCUGAAAGCAUCUAAGCACGAAACUUGCCCCGAGAUGAGUUCUCCCUGACCCUUUAAGGGUCCUGAAGGAACGUUGAAGACGACGACGUUGAUAGGCCGGGUGUGUAAGCGCAGCGAUGCGUUGAGCUAACCGGUACUAAUGAACCGUGAGG
Molecule: ribosomal RNA, 2904 nt
Filed under: Shigella flexneri
Lineage: Bacteria; Pseudomonadati; Pseudomonadota; Gammaproteobacteria; Enterobacterales; Enterobacteriaceae
Description: partial 23S ribosomal RNA
Rfam family: Bacterial large subunit ribosomal RNA
Source: RNAcentral